GACAUAGAAUAAAUGACUAUACUCUAUCCUCGGAGAGAAGUAAGUAUAGGGCUCUCUCUGUUUAGUAAUCUCAUACAAAUGACAAAGA
Maniola jurtina (meadow brown) is the source of this 88-nucleotide long non-coding RNA. RefSeq lists it as uncharacterized. The transcript has 3 exons. Lineage: Eukaryota; Metazoa; Arthropoda; Insecta; Lepidoptera; Nymphalidae. The record is from RefSeq and is a predicted model, not a curated record.